AUGCAGGGCCUGUCUCUCCUCCCGUGCGCUGGUCCUGUCCCCAGGCAUUGGGCUGCUUCCUGGGGAUGGGCUGAGGUUGGGACGUGGGUCCAGCUUGGUGAGGCCCAUGGCCUAGUAAGGCGAUGCUGUGGGGAGCUGGAGACCAGCACUGGCACAGAGACAGACAACCCUGCAGGCUGCAAUGAGAUCCUGUGCCACCAGCAAGUUGGAGAAGGCUCCAGAGUGCAGGGCAGACUGUUUUUAGACGUGAGCUGCUAUUCAAAGUGUCACGAGAAACAGGAGGCAUCUACACUGCAGUUCAUUGCACUACAGAAUCACUUCUGCAGAAGGACUGACAGCACUGAAUCAAAACACUUAUGCAGACAGACAGCACUAAAAUGUAUUAGGAAUUGAAAUGAGAGCAAGCAUAUGAGGUCUACUUGAACCCUUAAACAACUUGAACUGAAGGUUCCAGUUGCUGUGUGUACGGUUCUCUUGCUCUCAUGUCUCUGUUCAGAAAUGUGAAGUCCCCAUCCAAGAUUUGUUGGACCUGAGAUGCAAAAAAAGAAGUGUGUGAACUAUGCAUGGGUCCUUGGGAGGGUUUGGUUUAUUAAGCAUCUGAGUUAUACACUGAGGAGACUGAUUUUGGUUCAGAGUAAAGAAAUACUGUCCAUCUCUGACAAGUAAUGUAAUUAGAGGGCUUGGUGAAAAAUGUAGGACUGAAUUCAUAGCUUUUGCUACAGGGACUUGAAUCCUGAAGACCUUUGCAAAAAAAUGCCGUAACCAUUUUGAUACAAGCACACCUGCAAAGGUGAAUAAUUUCAUCUGUGACAAUAUUAGUUCCUCUGUGCAGAAGGGAGGGCUGGAGACACCACAGAAGAGCAAGUAGAAAUUGAAGCAUAGACAAUCGUGUGCAUGUCACUGGAGAAGAGAUGCUCCUUAGGCUGCCUAUGAGUUUAGUGUUAAGGACUGAUUGAAAGGAGUGCAUCAUCAGCACUGCAAAGCAGGAUCUUACCCCAGAACAGCAAAUCCACAAAGGAGUUGACUGAUCUGCGUAUCAGUAUAAAAAUGUCACUUGAAGCAUUUACUUACUCAUUUACAUCUCUCUUGUCCUAAUCAGAACUACUCUGAAUUUGAUGAGCUUUGCCAUUGAUUUUUAUACUGUUGGCACAGGCUGUACAUUUAAAUUUGACUCUGCCUUUGUCAAAGAAGUAUCGUGGUAGAUUUCAAACAAUAUUUACCACUGAUGAUAUAAGCUGUCAUUUUGAUUACAAAAAGAGGCUCUGUGGGGAGUAGCUGUAAUAAAGUGUCAGGCCAUAAAAAUCCA
RNAcentral lists this long non-coding RNA (1306 nucleotides) under Phasianus colchicus (ring-necked pheasant). Its description in RNAcentral is "lncRNA (ENSPCLG00000000839.1)". Lineage: Eukaryota; Metazoa; Chordata; Aves; Galliformes; Phasianidae. The record is from RNAcentral.